Molecule: unclassified non-coding RNA, 404 nt
Filed under: soil metagenome
Description: partial contains 5.8S ribosomal RNA, internal transcribed spacer 2, and large subunit ribosomal RNA
Rfam family: 5.8S ribosomal RNA (bases 1-122)
Source: RNAcentral
GAUGAAGAACGCAGCAAAAUGCGAUACUUGGUGUGAAUUGCAGAAUCCCGUGAACCAUCGAGUUUUUGAACGCAAGUUGCGCCCGAAGCCUUUUGGCCGAGGGCACGUCUGCCUGGGCAUCACGCAUCGCGUCGCCCCCCACAAAUUCUCCUCAGGGGAGCUUGUGUUUCGGGGGCGGAUACUGGUCUCCCGUGCUCAUGGCGCGGUUGGCCGAAAUAGGAGUCCCUUCGAUGGACGCACGAACUAGUGGUGGUCGUAAAAACCCUCGUCUUUUGUUUCGUGCCGUUAGUCGCGAGGGAAGCUCUUCAAACACCCCAGCGCGUCGUCUCUUGACGGCGCUUCGACCGCGACCCCAGGUCAGGCGGGACUACCCGCUGAGUUUAAGCAUAUCAAUAAGCGGAGGA